Planococcus citri (citrus mealybug) is the source of this 1298-nucleotide long non-coding RNA. RefSeq lists it as uncharacterized. NCBI's taxonomy places the organism in Eukaryota, Metazoa, Arthropoda, Insecta, Hemiptera, Pseudococcidae. The record is from RefSeq and is a predicted model, not a curated record. The transcript is spliced from 2 exons.
AGUUCCUCGUAUAGGUAACACAAGUACAAGCAUAUACAAAGUAACCUUUAACCGGUCGUAAAUUGAAAAGAAAAACAAUGAAUUGUAAGUUCACUGAUCAAUGUUGCAUUUAAAAUUCUCUUUACCUACCUACCUGUUUAAAUAUCGCGACGCUCAGUUCUGUGAACGUUGAAAUUUUUAUCAGUAAUCGUACGAUUAACUAACUUCAAAGACGUUACAGAGAAUUUUAUUAUCGAUGAUAAUUGUACUUUUGAUGUAAUUAACAUUCGGUUUAGACGAUUUUGACAGUUUUUAGAGUAAAUAUUUAGUUUGGGUUCAUUACUAUUCUUAAAAAUCGCGGAAAUUUCGUCUAUAGAAUCAUGUUUGCUUUGAAGGAUGUGAUCAAUACAGCUAUCCUACUACUUCUGGCCACCUUGGAAGUAGCCAAAGGAAAACUCCUACCGGAAGAAGAGGUGAUCAUUGAUCCUCGUUUUGAACCUAAUAUCCAUCCGGGAGAAGAUCGAUUUGGGACGAAUGCAAUAUUUUCAUAUUCUUUGUACAAAAUUUUCAUAUAAUGCAUUCGAAUUUUGCUCAGUACCUAUGUUAUGUGUAUUGUGUAUAGACCAACACCAGCGAAGUGCACGAAAGUUGAACAAACAAAUGAAACAAUGAAAAAGAAAAAAAACAUCACGAUAAUCAAUGCAAUUUCAACGUAUUAAAAUAUGAAAAGCUGCAGAAAUUCGAAUUCGCUCCUAAAAUGAAACGUCACUUCGGUAGAUUUAUAUCAUCAAAAUAUAUAUAAAAUUAGGCUGGGAUAAGCAUAACUUUUGUAAGAUGUAUCUAAAGAAACUUUUAACUUUUCAAGUGUAAAUAAAAAGUUAUAAGUGGGAAUUAUAAAAAGAAUCACUUGACAUAAAGUACCCAUAAAGAAUGUCGAUGGUCAUGAAAAUAAACCAAGUGCAUACAGAUAAAUAUAAGUAAUUCUUUUUCUAGAGUUGCAGUUGCCAAGUUGAAAGUGAUUCUAUGCAAGUAGGUUUAUAUCCGGAGUCAAAAUGUUCCAUUUGUUCGAGUGGCAGCUUACGAGAUUAAAUUUUAAACACACCGCCUUUUUUUACUUUCAUUUACAAAACGUAAUUGUAACUCUACGGAAUUUUUGUACAGUUUUUAUGGUAAGAGAAAUAAAUGUACAUUUAAAAUGACUGCACAGCAAAUAAAUUAAAGCAGUUUUUGAAAUUAUUGAAAUAAAAUUCAAAUUAUGAAAAUAAAAAUUGUGUAUUUUUAAUGUUAAAAAUAAUUAAAAUAUAUGACUUGUGACGGAA